RNAcentral lists this ribosomal RNA (1200 nucleotides) under Campylobacter coli. Its description in RNAcentral is "partial 23S ribosomal RNA". It matches the Rfam family "Bacterial large subunit ribosomal RNA", at positions 1 to 1216 of the family's 2925-position model. The record is from RNAcentral. Lineage: Bacteria; Pseudomonadati; Campylobacterota; Epsilonproteobacteria; Campylobacterales; Campylobacteraceae.
AAAAAAGGUAAGCUACUAAGAGCGAAUGGUGGAUGCCUUGACUGGUAAAGGCGAUGAAGGACGUACUAGACUGCGAUAAGCUACGGGGAGCUGUCAAGAAGCUUUGAUCCGUAGAUUUCCGAAUGGGGCAACCCAAUGUAUAGAGAUAUACAUUACCUAUAUAGGAGCGAACGAGGGGAAUUGAAACAUCUUAGUACCCUCAGGAAAAGAAAUCAAUAGAGAUUGCGUCAGUAGCGGCGAGCGAAAGCGCAAGAGGGCAAACCCAGUGCUUGCACUGGGGGUUGUAGGACUGCAAUGUGCAAGAGGUGAGUUUAGCAGAACAUUCUGGAAAGUAUAGCCAUAGAGGGUGAUAGUCCCGUAUGCGAAAAACAAACCUUAGCUAGCAGUAUCCUGAGUAGGGCGGGACACGAGAAAUCCUGUCUGAAGCUGGGUCGACCACGAUCCAACCCUAAAUACUAAUACCAGAUCGAUAGUGCACAAGUACCGUGAGGGAAAGGUGAAAAGAACUGAGGUGAUCAGAGUGAAAUAGAACCUGAAACCAUUUGCUUACAAUCAUUCAGAGCACUAUGUAGCAAUACAGUGUGAUGGACUGCCUUUUGCAUAAUGAGCCUGCGAGUUGUGGUGUCUGGCAAGGUUAAGCAAACGCGAAGCCGUAGCGAAAGCGAGUCUGAAUAGGGCGCUUAGUCAGAUGCUGCAGACCCGAAACGAAGUGAUCUAUCCAUGAGCAAGUUGAAGCUAGUGUAAGAACUAGUGGAGGACUGAACCCAUAGGCGUUGAAAAGCCCCGGGAUGACUUGUGGAUAGGGGUGAAAGGCCAAUCAAACUUCGUGAUAGCUGGUUCUCUCCGAAAUAUAUUUAGGUAUAGCGUUGUGUCGUAAUAUAAGGGGGUAGAGCACUGAAUGGGCUAGGGCAUACACCAAUGUACCAAACCCUAUCAAACUCCGAAUACCUUAUAUGUAAUCACAGCAGUCAGGCGGCGAGUGAUAAAAUCCGUCGUCAAGAGGGAAACAACCCAGACUACCAGCUAAGGUCCCUAAAUCUUACUUAAGUGGAAAACGAUGUGAAGUUACUUAAACAACCAGGAGGUUGGCUUAGAAGCAGCCAUCCUUUAAAGAAAGCGUAAUAGCUCACUGGUCUAGUGAUUUUGCGCGGAAAAUAUAACGGGGCUAAAGUAAGUACCGAAGCUGUAGACUUGAUUUUA